ACGUAGGGCGCAAGCGUUGUCCGGAAUCAUUGGGCGUAAAGGGCGCGUAGGUGGCCCAGUCAGCGUGCGGUGAAAGCUCGGGGCUCAACCCUGCGUCGGCCAGGGAUACUGCCGCGGCUGGAGCACUGUAGAGGCAGGCGGAAUUCCGGGUGUAGCGGUGGAAUGCGUAGAGAUCCGGAAGAACACCGGUGGCGAAGGCGGCC
This 203-nucleotide ribosomal RNA is filed under the name uncultured prokaryote. RNAcentral describes it as "partial 16S ribosomal RNA". It matches the Rfam family "Bacterial small subunit ribosomal RNA", at positions 525 to 726 of the family's 1533-position model. The record is from RNAcentral.